RNAcentral lists this ribosomal RNA (484 nucleotides) under uncultured bacterium. RNAcentral describes it as "partial 16S ribosomal RNA". It matches the Rfam family "Bacterial small subunit ribosomal RNA", at positions 30 to 507 of the family's 1533-position model. The record is from RNAcentral.
AUUGAACGCUGGCGGCAGGCCUAACACAUGCAAGUCGAGCGGAUGAAGGGAGCUUGCUCCUGGAUUCAGCGGCGGACGGGUGAGUAAUGCCUAGGAAUCUGCCUGGUAGUGGGGGAUAACGUCCGGAAACGGGCGCUAAUACCGCAUACGUUCUGAGGGAGAAAGUGGGGGAUCUUCGGACCUCACGCUAUCAGAUGAGCCUAGGUCGGAUUAGCUAGUUGGUGGGGUAAAGGCCUACCAAGGCGACGAUCCGUAACUGGUCUGAGAGGAUGAUCAGUCACGCUGGAACUGGGACACGGUGCAGACUCCUACGGUAGGCAGCAGUGGGGAAUAUUGCACAAUGGGCGAAAGCCUGAUCCAGCCAUGCCGCGUGUGUUAUGAAGGUCUUCGGAUUGUAAAGCUCUUUAAGUUGGGAAGAAGGGCAGUGAGUUUAUACCUGGCUGUUUUGACGUUACCAACAGAAUAAGCAACGGCUAACUUCGUG